RNAcentral lists this ribosomal RNA (253 nucleotides) under uncultured bacterium. RNAcentral describes it as "partial 16S ribosomal RNA". It matches the Rfam family "Bacterial small subunit ribosomal RNA", at positions 524 to 776 of the family's 1533-position model. The record is from RNAcentral.
UACGGAGGGGGCUAGCGUUGUUCGGAAUUACUGGGCGUAAAGCGCACGUAGGCGGACAUUUAAGUCAGGGGUGAAAUCCCGGGGCUCAACCCCGGAGCUGCCUUUGAUACUGGGUGUCUGGAGGUCGAGAGAGGUGAGUGGAAUUCCGAGUGUAGAGGUGAAAUUCGUAGAUAUUCGGAAGAACACCAGUGGCGAAGGCGACUUACUGGACACAUAUUGACGCUGAGGUGCGAAAGCGUGGGGAGCAAACAGG